UUGGGAAUAUGGUGUUGAUGCUGCCCAUUUUGAUUACGAUUUACAGAAUCCCUUCCUUGCUAUCUACCCUCAAGAAAACACCGUUGAAUGGUUUUACCACCGUAGUUCUUAAGGA
Molecule: non-coding RNA, 115 nt
Filed under: Protocruzia adhaerens
Lineage: Eukaryota; Ciliophora; Spirotrichea
Source: RNAcentral